RNAcentral lists this ribosomal RNA (459 nucleotides) under uncultured bacterium. RNAcentral describes it as "partial 16S ribosomal RNA". It matches the Rfam family "Bacterial small subunit ribosomal RNA", at positions 338 to 795 of the family's 1533-position model. The record is from RNAcentral.
CCUACGGGUGGCAGCAGUGAGGAAUAUUGGUCAAUGGCCGGAAGGCUGAACCAGCCAAGCCGCGUGAAGGACGAAGGUGCCAAGCAGUGUAAACUUCUUUUGUCAAGGGACAAAAUCAGGCUCGAGAGCCUGACCGCGGGUACCUGAAGAAAAAGCAUCGGCUAACUCCGUGCCAGCAGCCGCGGUAAUACGGAGGAUGCGAGUGUUAUCCGGAUUUAUUGGGUUUAAAGGGUGCGUAGGCGGUAUUUAAAGUUAGUGGUAAAACGUCGGGGCUUCACCCUGAUUUGCCAUUUAAACUGGCGUACUAGAGUACAGACGAGGUAGGCGGAAUGAGUUGCGUAGCGGUGAAAUGCUUAGAUAUUACUUAGAACCCCGAUCGCGAAGGCAGCUUACCAGACUGUGACUGACGCUGAGGCACGAGAGCGUGGGUAGCGAACAGGAUUAGAUACCCGUGUAGUC